RNAcentral lists this long non-coding RNA (301 nucleotides) under Brassica rapa (field mustard). Its description in RNAcentral is "long non-coding RNA (BRAP_LNC005644)". The record is from RNAcentral. Lineage: Eukaryota; Viridiplantae; Streptophyta; Magnoliopsida; Brassicales; Brassicaceae.
AAAAACCAAAAAAUAAUAGAUAAAAAUAAAUAUUUAAUUUCUUUUAAUAUGUGUGAACAACCUUAAACAUUAUAUAUUUAUAUCAAGAGGGAGUAUAAACUAAAAUAUUUAAGAAUAAAAAUAAAAAAAUCUAGUAAUGAUUGAUAUCCUAGAUAAAAAUAUCAAGUAUAUUAAGAAUCUUUAAAAAAUCGGCUGGUUAAGAAUAUACUUGAAACAAACAAAAAAAUGAAUUCGAACUUUAGAACCAACCAUAAAUAACGAAGGAAAUAAUUAAGUAUUUAUGGUAAACUUACAAUUAGCG